RNAcentral lists this ribosomal RNA (422 nucleotides) under uncultured bacterium. RNAcentral describes it as "partial 16S ribosomal RNA". It matches the Rfam family "Bacterial small subunit ribosomal RNA", at positions 360 to 774 of the family's 1533-position model. The record is from RNAcentral.
AAUCUUCCACAAUGGGCGAAAGCCUGAUGGAGCAACGCCGCGUGAGUGAAGUAGGUUUUCUGAUCGUAAAACUCUGUUGUAAGGGAAGAACAAGUACAGAAGUAACUGGCUGUACCUUGACGGUACCUUAUUACAAAGCCACGGCUAACUACGUGCCAGCAGCCGCGGUAAUACGUAUGUGGCAAGCGUUGUCCGGAAUUAUUGGGCGUAAAGCGCGCGCAGGCGGUCCCUUAAGUCUGAUGUGAAAGCCCACGGCUCAACCGUGGAGGGUCAUUGGAAACUGGGGGACUUGAGUGCAGAAGAGGAGAGUGAAAUUCCAAGUGUAGCGGUGAAAUGCGUAGAGAUUUGGAGGAACACCAGUGGCGAAGGCGACUUUCUGGUCUGUAACUGACGCUGAGGCGCGAAAGCGUGGGGAGCAAACA